UACGGAGGGUGCGAGCGUUGUCCGGAAUCACUGGGCGUAAAGGGCGCGUAGGCGGCUCGGUAAGUAGGGGGUGAAAUCCUGCGGCUUAACAGCAGGGCUGCCUUCUAAACUGUCGAGCUAGAGCACGGUAGAGGCAGGUGGAAUUCCCGGUGUAGCGGUGGAAUGCGUAGAGAUCGGGAAGAACACCAGUGGCGAAGGCGGCCUGCUGGGCCGUUGCUGACGCUGAGGCGCGACAGCGUGGGGAGCAAACAGG
RNAcentral lists this unclassified non-coding RNA (253 nucleotides) under uncultured Gemmatimonadaceae bacterium. RNAcentral's name for it is "contains 16S-23S intergenic spacer region". It matches the Rfam family "Bacterial small subunit ribosomal RNA", at positions 524 to 776 of the family's 1533-position model. Lineage: Bacteria; Pseudomonadati; Gemmatimonadota; Gemmatimonadia; Gemmatimonadales; Gemmatimonadaceae. The record is from RNAcentral.